Leopardus geoffroyi (Geoffroy's cat) is the source of this 248-nucleotide long non-coding RNA. RefSeq lists it as uncharacterized. The transcript is spliced from 3 exons. The record is from RefSeq and is a predicted model, not a curated record. NCBI's taxonomy places the organism in Eukaryota, Metazoa, Chordata, Mammalia, Carnivora, Felidae.
CCAGGAGCGUUGAGGAGGGCCCGGGAGGCAGUCGAAUCCGUGCUGAGGGAUGUCGGGCCUAGAAGGGCUGAGGAGGGUACUGCAGUUCGGGCGGGAAGGCUGAGACUCACUGGAGAAUUUCUAAAGGAUGUACAUUGGCAAGAAGUAAGUUAAACCUGGAAAGACUGAAUGAGAUAAAAUCGGUAACUGUUGGAAAAUGGGCGCCUGGGUGGCGCAGUCCGUUAAGCGUCCGACUUCAGCCAGGUCAC